Molecule: non-coding RNA, 226 nt
Filed under: Azospirillum sp.
Lineage: Bacteria; Pseudomonadati; Pseudomonadota; Alphaproteobacteria; Rhodospirillales; Azospirillaceae
Also listed under: 1 other name
Source: RNAcentral
CGAUGGUGGCCGUCCGACGGUGCCCCGCCCGUCCUGACGGACGGCUGGGAUAAUAGGGAAUGCGGUGCGGACCGACCCUCUGGACUGGUCCAAUGCCGCGGCUGCCCCCGCAACUGUGUGCGGCGAGCGUCCUGUCCAUUAUGCCACUGGUCCUUGACGGCCGGGAAGGCGGACGGCGAUGCGGCGACCCGCGAGCCAGGAAACCUGCCGCCGGACGCAUCAAUUU